RNAcentral lists this unclassified non-coding RNA (221 nucleotides) under Hevea brasiliensis (rubber tree). The record is from RNAcentral. Lineage: Eukaryota; Viridiplantae; Streptophyta; Magnoliopsida; Malpighiales; Euphorbiaceae.
UGAAAACUGCAUCUCGAGCUACUGAUGCUAAGAUAUCAGCACCAGGACAUUUCUUUUCUAGUUCAGAUUUUGCAGCAUCAAUUACUUGGAACCCUCUUAAGGUUAAGUUUGGGCUUGCUUCUUUCUAUGUUUUUUUACCCUUGACAGAAUUUAAGAGCACAGAGCCAUCACAUCCCUGCAAAAACUCUAAACAUUGUUAGACUCCACCAUCAUCUUUUUUU